CCUACGGGUGGCAGCAGUGAGGAAUAUUGGUCAAUGGACGCAAGCCUGAACCAGCCAUGCCGCGUGCAGGAAGACGGCUCUAUGAGUUGUAAACUGCUUUUGUACGAGGGUAAACGCAGAUACGUGUACCUGUCUGAAAGUAUCGUACGAAUAAGGAUCGGCUAACUCCGUGCCAGCAGCCGCGGUAAUACGGAGGAUUCAAGCGUUAUCCGGAUUUAUUGGGUUUAAAGGGUGCGUAGGCGGUCGGAUAAGUUAGAGGUGAAAUCCCGAGGCUCAACUUCGGAAUUGCCUUUGAUACUGGUCGGCUAGAGAGUAGUUGAGGUAGGCGGAAUGUAUGGUGUAGCGGUGAAAUGCUUAGAUAUCAUGCAGAACACCGAUUGCGAAGGCAGCUUACCAAGCUACUUCUGACGUUGAGGCACGAAAGCGUGGGGAGCAAACAGGAUUAGAUACCCCUGUAGUC
RNAcentral lists this ribosomal RNA (460 nucleotides) under uncultured bacterium. RNAcentral describes it as "partial 16S ribosomal RNA". It matches the Rfam family "Bacterial small subunit ribosomal RNA", at positions 338 to 795 of the family's 1533-position model. The record is from RNAcentral.